UACGAAGGGGGCUAGCGUUGUUCGGAAUUACUGGGCGUAAAGCGUGCGCAGGCGGUUUUCCAAGUCAGUGGUGAAAGCCCGGAGCUCAACUCCGGAACUGCCAUUGAAACUGUGAAACUAGAGUACGAGAGAGGUGAGUGGAAUUCCCAGUGUAGAGGUGAAAUUCGUAGAUAUCGAGAGGAACACCGGUGGCGAAGGCGGCCUUCUGGGACAGUGACUGACGCUGAGACGCGAAAGCGUGGGGAGCAAACAGG
RNAcentral lists this ribosomal RNA (254 nucleotides) under uncultured bacterium. RNAcentral's name for it is "partial 16S ribosomal RNA". It matches the Rfam family "Bacterial small subunit ribosomal RNA", at positions 524 to 776 of the family's 1533-position model. The record is from RNAcentral.